CUACGGGGGGCUGCAGUGAGGAAUAUUGCACAAUGGGGGAAACCCUGAUGCAGCAACGCCGCGUGGAGGAUGACGCAUUUCGGUGUGUAAACUCCUUUUAUCAGAGAAGAAAAUGACGGUAUCUGAUGAAUAAGCUCCGGCUAACUCCGUGCCAGCAGCCGCGGUAAUACGGAGGGAGCAAGCGUUAUUCGGAAUCACUGGGCGUAAAGGACGCGUAGGCGGGUUUUUAAGUCAGGUGUGAAAUCCUAUGGCUCAACCAUAGAACUGCACUUGAAACUGGGGACCUAGAGUAUGGAAGGGGCAGGUGGAAUUAGUGGUGUAGGGGUAAAAUCCGUAGAUAUCACUAGGAAUACCGAAAGCGAAGGCGACCUGCUGGGACAUUACUGACGCUGAGGCGUGAAAGCGUGGGGAGCAAACAGGAUUAGAUACCCCUGUAGUC
This 439-nucleotide ribosomal RNA is filed under the name uncultured bacterium. RNAcentral's name for it is "partial 16S ribosomal RNA". It matches the Rfam family "Bacterial small subunit ribosomal RNA", at positions 339 to 795 of the family's 1533-position model. The record is from RNAcentral.